GCUUGCUUUGGCUGACAUAACUAAAAUUGCAAUGAUACAGAGAUUAGCAUGGUUCCUGCACAAGGAUAAUGCACAAAUUUGUGAAAUGCUCUGUAUUUUU
Small nuclear RNA from Homo sapiens (human), 100 nucleotides. The record is from Ensembl. Lineage: Eukaryota; Metazoa; Chordata; Mammalia; Primates; Hominidae.